AAAUUCGUUGUGUGAAAUUUUCUACACUUAACUCAAUUUUGUUAGCAAGAAAUGGAUGUAUUCGAUUGCUUUUUUUAAG
Molecule: long non-coding RNA, 79 nt
Organism: Bradysia coprophila
Lineage: Eukaryota; Metazoa; Arthropoda; Insecta; Diptera; Sciaridae
Source: RefSeq, a predicted model, not a curated record